RNAcentral lists this ribosomal RNA (253 nucleotides) under uncultured bacterium. RNAcentral's name for it is "partial 16S ribosomal RNA". It matches the Rfam family "Bacterial small subunit ribosomal RNA", at positions 524 to 776 of the family's 1533-position model. The record is from RNAcentral.
UACGAAGGGGGCUAGCGUUGUUCGGAAUCACUGGGCGUAAAGCGUGCGCAGGCGGCUAUGCAAGUCAGGGGUGAAAUGCCAAGGCUUAACCUUGGAACUGCCUUUGAAACUGCAUAGCUAGAGUCCCGGAGGGGUUAGUGGAAUUCCUAAUGUAGCAGUGAAAUGCGUAGAUAUUAGGAGGAACACCAGUGGCGAAGGCGGCUAACUGGACGGGUACUGACGCUCAUGCACGAAAGCGUGGGGAUCAAACAGG